RNAcentral lists this ribosomal RNA (658 nucleotides) under uncultured bacterium. RNAcentral's name for it is "bacterial SSU rRNA". It matches the Rfam family "Bacterial small subunit ribosomal RNA", at positions 621 to 1291 of the family's 1533-position model. The record is from RNAcentral.
CUGUGUCCAAAACUAUCUAACUAGAGCAUAGUAGAGGCAAGUGGAAUUUCUGGUGUAGGAGUGACAUCCGUAGAUAUCAGAAGGAACACCAAUGGCGAAGGCAGCUUGCUGGGCUAUUGCUGACGCUCAGGAACGAAAGCGUGGGGAGCGAACGGGAUUAGAUACCCCGGUAGUCCACGCCGUAAACGAUGAUCACUAACAGUAUGGAGAUUCGACCCUCUGUGUUGUACAGCUAACGCGUUAAGUGAUCCGCCUGGGGAGUACGGGCGCAAGCUUAAAACUCAAAGGAAUUGACGGGGACCCGCACAAGCAGUGGAGGAUGUGGUUUAAUUCGACGCUAAGCGAAGAACCUUACCGAGGUUUGACAUCCCAGGAAAUCAAGCGAAAGCUAGAUGUGCCUUCGGGAACCUGGUGACAGGUGCUGCAUGGCCGUCGUCAGCUCGUGUCGUGAGAUGUUGGGUUAAGUCCCGCAACGAGCGCAACCCUCGUCGUAAGUUAGUAUGUCUUACGAGACCGCCUGGGUUAACCAGGAGGAAGGUGGGGAUGACGUCUGGUCAGCAUGGCCCUUACACCUCGGGCUACACACGUCCUACAAUGGCCGUUACAACGCGCUAGCCAAGCCGUAAGGCGGAGCGAAUCGCAUCAAAAGCGGCCUCAG